GGGGCUGUUCUGGAUUCGACGGGAUGGUUUGGGCUUGGCAAGCACGCGAUCGGCAGAUCUGAAAAUGCACGGUUAAAUAUAACCGCAAACAACAAUUACGCUUUCGCAGCCUAAGAAGAGGUAGCGGGUCAGACGGUUCCAGCCUGCGGGCAUCGCCAGACCUCAAUUUAGCAGGAUAGCAAGGGGCAUCGCCGCCUUAGGUGCCUCAAGUGAAACUAACAGGGCUG
RNAcentral lists this transfer-messenger RNA (227 nucleotides) under Candidatus Izemoplasmatales bacterium. RNAcentral's name for it is "partial transfer-messenger RNA". It matches the Rfam family "transfer-messenger RNA", at positions 1 to 252 of the family's 374-position model. Rfam says of the family: Bacterial tmRNA, also known as 10Sa RNA or SsrA, is named for its dual tRNA and mRNA-like properties. Its role is to liberate the mRNA from a stalled ribosome. Lineage: Bacteria; Bacillati; Mycoplasmatota; Mollicutes; Candidatus Izemoplasmatales. The record is from RNAcentral.